UAAGGAAUAUUGGUCAAUGGACGCAAGUCUGAACCAGCCAUGCCGCGUGAAGGAUGAAGGUCCUCUGGAUUGUAAACUUCUUUUAUCUGGGACGAAAACGGGAUUUUUAUCUCAAUUGACGGUACCAGAGGAAUAAGCACCGGCUAACUCCGUGCCAGCAGCCGCGGUAAUACGGAGGGUGCGAGCGUUAUCCGGAUUUACUGGGUUUAACGGGUGCGUAGGUGGGCUUAUAAGUCAGUGGUGAAAUCUCCGAGCUUAACUUGGAAACUGCCGUUGAUACUAUAGGCCUUGAAUUAUCUGGAGGUAAGCGGAAUAUGGCAUGUAGCGGUGAAAUGCUUAGAUAUGACAUAGAACACCAAUUGCGAAGGCAGCUUACUACAUAUAAAUUGACGCUGAGGCACGAAAGCGUGGGGAUCAAACA
Molecule: ribosomal RNA, 421 nt
Filed under: uncultured bacterium
Lineage: Bacteria
Description: bacterial SSU rRNA
Rfam family: Bacterial small subunit ribosomal RNA
Source: RNAcentral